CUUGGUCAUUUAGAGGAAGUAAAAGUCAUAACAAGGUUUCUGUAGGUGAACCUGCAGAAGGAUCAUUAUUGAAUAAUAGGGCUUCCCAUUCUUUGGGGCCCGAACCUCACAUAAUUUCCACACACUUGUGAAUCGUUGGAGCAUGGAAGGAGAGACUCUCUCGAGUCUCUGUGAAAAUGCUCUGGCACCCAUUUAUUAUUACAAACUCUGAGUUAAUGGAUGUAGUUGUAAACUUGUCUUUUGACAGAAACAAAAAUACAACUUUCAACAACGGAUCUCUUGGUUCUCCCAUCGAUGAAGAACGCAGCGAAACGCGAUAGUUAAUGUGAAUUGCAGAAUUCAGUGAAUCAUCGAGUCUUUGAACGCAUCUUGCGCUCCUUGGUAUUCCGAGGAGCAUGCCUGUUUGAGUGUCAUGAAUCCCUCAGCCCCCAAUGCUUUUCGUUAAGUGUUGGCUUGGGUCUGGAUUUGGGCGAUUGCCAGAGAGCUUUUUCAAGUUCCUGGCUCGCCUCAAAGAGAUUAGCUGGACCCCAUUCCGAGCUGGUUCAACUCGACGUGAUAAUUUCAUUCGUCGAGGUAUGGUUCUUCUCCCUUAAACAAGGAGUGGAUCCAGCCAGGUGUAGGAAUCCGGUCUGCUUCCAACUUCUGUCUGAAGUCCAAUUUAUUGGGCAUGCAGCAGACUUUUUAAUGCUCUGGCCUCAAAUCAGGUAGGAUUACCCGCUGAACUUAAGCAUAUCAAUAAGCGGAGGAAAAGAAACUAACAAGGAUUCCCCUAGUAACGGCGAGUGAAGCGGGAAGAGCUCAAAUUUGAAAGCUGGCGUCUUCGGCGUCCGCAUUGUAAUCUCGAGAAGUGUUUUCCGCGUUGGACCAUGUACAAGUUCCUUGGAACAGGACGUCAUAGAGGGUGAGAAUCCCGUACUCGACAUGGAUGCCCAACGCUUUGUGAUACGCUCUCCACGAGUCGAGUUGUUUGGGAAU
This 975-nucleotide small RNA is filed under the name uncultured Tilletiopsis. Its description in RNAcentral is "eukaryotic LSU rRNA". The stretch from base 691 to 975 matches the Rfam family "Eukaryotic large subunit ribosomal RNA", at positions 1 to 281 of the family's 3401-position model. The record is from RNAcentral. Lineage: Eukaryota; Fungi; Basidiomycota; Exobasidiomycetes.